Molecule: ribosomal RNA, 253 nt
Filed under: uncultured bacterium
Lineage: Bacteria
Description: partial 16S ribosomal RNA
Rfam family: Bacterial small subunit ribosomal RNA
Source: RNAcentral
UACGUAGGGGGCAAGCGUUGUCCGGAAUUAUUGGGCGUAAAGCGCGCGCAGGCGGCUUCUUAAGUCUGAUGUGAAAGCCCACGGCUCAACCGUGGAGGGUCAUUGGAAACUGGGAAGCUUGAGUGCAGAAGAGGAGAGUGGAAUUCCACGUGUAGCGGUGAAAUGCGUAGAGAUGUGGAGGAACACCAGUGGCGAAAGCGGCUCUCUGGGACGUGACUGACGCUGAGACGCGAAAGCGUGGGGAGCAGACAGG